This 30-nucleotide non-coding RNA is filed under the name Mus musculus (house mouse). Lineage: Eukaryota; Metazoa; Chordata; Mammalia; Rodentia; Muridae. The record is from RNAcentral.
UGGCAUAAUAUAUUGGCAUGAUAACCUUGG